CUACCAUGCAAGUCGAGCGGUAGCACAGAGGAGCUUGCUCCUUGGGUGACGAGCGGCGGACGGGUGAGUAAAGUCUGGGGAUCUGCCUGAUGGAGGGGGAUAACUACUGGAAACGGUAGCUAAUACCGCAUGACGUCUUCGGACCAAAGUGGGGGACCUUCGGGCCUCACGCCAUGAGAUGAACCCAGAUGGGAUUAGCUGGUAGGUGAGGUAACGGCUCACCUAGGCGACGAUCCCUAGCUGGUCUGAGAGGAUGACCAGCCACACUGGAACUGAGACACGGUCCAGACUCCUACGGGAGGCAGCAGUGGGGAAUAUUGCACAAUGGGGGAAACCCUGAUGCAGCCAUGCCGCGUGUGUGAAGAAGGCCUUCGGGUUGUAAAGCACUUUCAGCGGGGAGGAAGGCAAUGAGCUUAAUAAGUUUGUUGAUUGACGUUACCCGCAGAAGAAGCACCGGCUAACUCCGUGCCAGCAGCCGCGGUAAUACGGAGGGUGCAAGCGUUAAUCGGAAUGACUGGGCGUAAAGCGCACGCAGGCGGUCUGUUAAGUUGGAUGUGAAAUCCCCGGGCUCAACCCGGGAACAGCAUUCAAAACUGACAGGCUAGAGUCUCGUAGAGGGGGGUAGAAUUCCAGGUGUAGCGGUGAAAUGCGUAGAGAUCUGGAGGAAUACCGGUGGCGAAGGCGGCCCCCUGGACGAAGACUGACGCUCAGGUGCGAAAGCGUGGGGAGCAAACAGGAUUAGAUACCCUGGUAGUCCACGCUGUAAACGAUGUCGACUUGGAGGUUGUGGUCUUGAACCGUGGCUUCCGGAGCUAACGCGUUAAGUCGACCGCCUGGGGAGUACGGCCGCAAGGUUAAAACUCAAAUGAAUUGACGGGGGCCCGCACAAGCGGUGGAGCAUGUGGUUUAAUUCGAUGCAACGCGAAGAACCUUACCUACUCUUGACAUCCAGAGAAGACUGUAGAGAUACGGUUGUGCCUUCGGGAGCUCUGAGACAGGUGCUGCAUGGCUGUCGUCAGCUCGUGUUGUGAAAUGUUGGGUUAAGUCCCGCAACGAGCGCAACCCUUAUCCUUUGUUGCCAGCACUUCGGGUGGGAACUCAAAGGAGACUGCCGGUGAUAAACCGGAGGAAGGUGGGGAUGACGUCAAGUCAUCAUGGCCCUUACGAGUAGGGCUACACACGUGCUACAAUGGCGCAUACAAAGAGAAGCGAGCCUGCGAGGGUGAGCGGACCUCAUAAAGUGCGUCGUAGUCCGGAUUGGAGUCUGCAACUCGACUCCAUGAAGUCGGAAUCGCUAGUAAUCGUAGAUCAGAAUGCUACGGUGAAUACGUUCCCGGGCCUUGUACACACCGCCCGUCACACCAUGGGAGUGGGUUGCAAAAGAAGUAGGUAGCUUAACCUUAGGGGGGGCGCUAC
Molecule: ribosomal RNA, 1416 nt
Filed under: Brenneria sp.
Lineage: Bacteria; Pseudomonadati; Pseudomonadota; Gammaproteobacteria; Enterobacterales; Pectobacteriaceae
Description: bacterial SSU rRNA
Rfam family: Bacterial small subunit ribosomal RNA
Source: RNAcentral